This 3333-nucleotide long non-coding RNA is filed under the name Sus scrofa (pig). Its description in RNAcentral is "lncRNA (ENSSSCG00160031907.1, ENSSSCG00175032046.1)". The record is from RNAcentral. Lineage: Eukaryota; Metazoa; Chordata; Mammalia; Artiodactyla; Suidae.
GGUGGGGGGAGGGGAUGCACUGGGAAGCGGAGUUUUCAGCUAGCUAGCGGGCCUGUAAGCUUGCUGUGGCGUGGGGGGUAUUCUAUGGGGACCCACCCCUUCUUCUCUCCCCUCCCCAGCACGGGCGCAGACCAGGCUCUUCUCCCAGAUUCCCUCUGAUGUGGCUUUCCCCUUCCCCACCCCUGGAGUAUUGCUCCCUUCCUCUGCGACAGCUUUGUUUUCUAGUCUCCCAGGCAGUCUCUGCCCCGUCAACUGGUUUCUAGACCUCCCAAGCAGUUUCCGCUCUGCCCCGCCCCCCUAGCCCGGGGACUAAUCUCUAGAGCCGAGGUCUCGGUGCCCAGCCCCCACCCAGGUGGCGCCCCCCGGCCCUUUCUCGGGGACUAACCUUCUGCGGCGAGGUCUCGGUGCCCAACCCCCCUCCCAGGCGUCCCCCGGCCCUUUCUCAGGGAUUAACUUCUGAGGCGAGGUCUCGGUGUUCACCCCCACCCAGGCGUCCCCCGGCCCUUUCUCAGGGAUUAACCUUCGGAGGCGAGGUCUCGGUGUUCAGCCCCCACCCAGGCAUCCCCCGGCCCCCUCUCGGGGACUAACCUUCGGCGGCGAGGUCUCGGUGCCCAGCCCCCACCCAGGCGUCCCCCGGCCCCCUCUCGGGGACUAACCUUCAGAGGCGAGGUCUCGGUGCCCAGCCCCCACCCAGGCGUCUCAAUUUUUGGUGACUCUGCCCGUAGUUCAGAUGGUCCGUUGGGUUCUUGAUCUGCUUUUCCGUACUCCAACUUACUGCUACACUCUUCUCUGCAUCUGGAGAUUCCUCCGGUUCGUUUGAUCUUUCGCCCGGUGGGUGAGUUUCCAGGUUGCGGGAUCCCUUUCUCCUCCGCAGUUCCCUUUCGGAAGCCCCCGUCUAGCUCGGAUUCGCCUUCUCUCACUCUCCUCUUUUCUCCUGUUCUGCCCAAUAAUGUCAGGAAUUUCUUGCCGUUAUUGGAGUUUAGGUUCCUCUGCCAGCGAUUGGUUGCUCCUCUGUGCGAGUCAUUUAUUCUGUAGAUGUGCUUUUUUUGUUGUAUUUGUGGGAGAGGGCGAGCGUGUCUUCCUACUCCUCCGCCAUCUUGUCCUCUCUCUCGCAAUGCUGUUUUAAAUAAUAUUUUAUUUCAAUCCUACAGUAUUAUUUUGUGAUGCUUUAAUAGGUUGAGAGGAGAAAAAUGAAUCAGGAAAACUAUUCUAAGAAUUUUUUCAGGCUGUUAAGUUCAAGCCAGACUCUCCCAGUUUAGCAGUCCCUUAUUUUUCUUUUUUUCCUUUUGGGCUGCUCUGGGGUAUACGGUGUUCCCCAGGCUAGGGAUAAGAUCCAAGCUGCCAUUCCACCUAAGCUGCAGAUGCAGGGCGGGGGAUCAAACCUGUAUCCUGGCUGAUCCAAUUGCACCACAGCGGGAAAUCCUAAGUACCCUUAAAUCCUCCACUGGUUCUGUCUAGGAAUCGCACAUGCUCUUCCACCUUCAUCAUUCAAAACCCUCAUGAGGAUCCACAUCUUAAGUAUUAGUUGGAACAAUAAAGAGAAGAGACUCUUCAUUGGGCUCUCAGUAGACAACAGAAGGUCCAGUCUGGGCUGGAGUGAGAGGCAGAAUUGUCCUCUUUGGGAAUGAAAACAGCAGGUUGACCUGAAGAAGACUCCUGGGAAACCAGUGAGGCCCUUGUGGACUGAACAAACAAUGAACAUCAUGCGAGCUGGGAGUUCAGGUAUUUGGGAGGAUUUCCUGAGGACUAUAGCCUGGAGGACAACUAUAAGGAUCUGCUCCAGGGAGCUGGGGGUGGGGGGAGGUCAGUAUAUAUAUAUGAUUUUGGCAAGUAGAAUGCUUGCCAUCAAGGACACAUCUUGGCAAUGCUGCUGCUCAUCAGGAGAAGAUGUCUCUGUUCAUGACUUUACUGCUUUUCUAGGUGUAAGAAGAGGUAAGAAAUUGGGUUCAUAAAAUUUUCUCCUGAAAUGAUCUACUACCUGAAGGCCUGAUCUGUCAGUUUUCCCAGAGAGAGAGAGUGCCUCCUUCCUGAUCCCUACCCUGACCUCCUUUCAGGGUGUAUUAAAGUUCAGGGACUCCAUUCCUGUGGAACCAGAUGGAGAGGGACUUCUUAGUUGUCACCCUGAAGGAGGAACUUCAGAGCUCAUAUGGGCAAAAACUGUUAGGUGCUUUUUUUUAUUCUUAAAGUCAUAAGAAAUAUCCAGUGUUAAAAAAAAUCAAUGCCUAGUUAUAAAACAGAAACAAACUCACAGAUUUUAAAACCAAUUUUACAGAUAAAAAUAGGUGAAACCAUUGCAGGCAGGGAAGAAUUGGGAGGCUGGGAAAAACAUACACACUACUGUAUAGGAUAGAUGAUUAACAAGAACAUACUGAAUGGCACAGGAAACUAUGCUCAGUAGUUUGUAAUAAAGUGUACUGAAAAAAUGGAUAUAUUUCUACAUAUGACUGAUUCCCUUUGCUGUACAACUGAAACUAAUACAACUUUGUAAGACAACUGACUCCAAUAAAAUUAAAGAUAAAUAAAUAAAUAAACUGCAGGUGUCUGCUGUUGGAGGGGUAAUAAAAUGGAAUGGUAAAAAAUUCACUUCAGGAGUUCCCAUUGUGGUGCAGCAGGUUAAGACCCAACUACUAUCCAUGAGGACAUGGGUUCAAUCCUUGGUCUCUCAGUGGGUUAAGGAUCUGGUAUUGCAGCAGGUGUGGCUUACGUCGCAGAUGCGGCUAGGGAUCUGCUGUUGUUGUGGCUGGUGCAUGAGCUGGCGGCUACUGUUCUGAUUCAACUCCUACCCUGGGAACUUCCAUAUGCUGUAGACAUGGCACUGAAAAGACCAAAAAAAAAUUAUUUUACUAUGUUGCAAUGAAGUUAUCACUCAUGAAAACUUAGAUUUUCUUGUAUUUUCAAAAAUCUACUCACUGCUAACUACUUAAUAGAGAUAAUAGAGAUUUUCAAUAUUUUUCAUUAGAACUUAAAGUCACUUCUCUUGACUCAGACCACACUCCCUGUUGCCCUACAAAACAAAAGACAGCAAACAUUGGAAACUGAAAUGCAAUUAACCAUCUUUUGUCACCGCAUUUUCUUCUUUCUAAUUAUUUUCUUCAUUCCUAAAGAUGGUUUUUCCACCCUUCACCUUCUUUAAUGGUGUCUUUUGGACAAAUCACUGUAAAGCCCCUCACUCAGGUUUGUCCUUAAUACAUUUAGUACACUUGAAAGAGCCCAUUCAUCCAGAUUUAUAUUUCCCUCCAGAUGUCUAAGUGAAUGUGAUCAAAAACAGGGCCAAUGAGAGGACUGUGGAAACAUUUUAAAGCACUUUCAGAGUGGUUAGUCCAGAGUUCCCUU